This 200-nucleotide long non-coding RNA is filed under the name Sorghum bicolor (sorghum). RNAcentral's name for it is "long non-coding RNA (SBIC_LNC002105)". Lineage: Eukaryota; Viridiplantae; Streptophyta; Magnoliopsida; Poales; Poaceae. The record is from RNAcentral.
CAACCCCCAAGUCUUCUUUAUUUUCUUUUUCUUCGUUUUCAUUUCAGCCUACCGAAUUUCCAUGUCAGGAUUGUCCAGCCCAUCCAUGUUUCCUAGCGAAUCACAGAAUCACUUGACCACCACACGCAAAAAAGUCAGCAACUUCUUUGUCCUCUUGGACUGGCCUAAUUUUCUCUCCCUUCCUAUCCACACGGGCCAAG